AAUAAAUAAUUUAAUUAAAAAAUAAUGCGGAUUCGGAUAUCCAGUUUUUUGGAUGCAUUUGCAUCUGGUUACAGAUCCGGAUCCGCAUUUUUUAAUAUACGGAUCUAGAUUUUUCCAAAUCCGGAUCAGUUUUGCCAUUCCUAAUUCAAGUUUCUAGCUACUGAGCUUUUCUACUGUCAUCCCCUCCUAUGGCCAUGCUUAUUUGACUCAGUUAAGCUUCUAGCUAUUGAACUCUCUUGCUGUUGUGCCCUCCCGUAGCUGUACUUAUUUCACUUAUUUUGGCUUCCAACUACUAACCUCUCCAAUUGUGGUGCUCCCCUGCAGUUUAACUUAUUUAACUAAAAUUAUAUUUUCGCUUUUUGACCUUCCAUUUCUUGUUACAAUUUAUCAAUGAUGAAAAAUAAAAAAUGAGGUGAAGAGGUAACAGCCACUCAAAUACGUUGGUAGAAUAUUUUAACUCCUGGAGUGCUAUACUUAUAAAAUUGAGAGACUUGAUAAUAUACAAUAUACAUAUUGCAAAAAUGAUAUCGUGCGUGUUGCAUCAUUAUUUUUUUAAAUUUAUCAUUUUACUAUCAUACUGUGAUAUAUGAGGAUUAUAUUUAGGAUAUAAAGUUUGCCUCCUAAAAUUUUGUUAGUGCAGUAUUACUAUUUUUAUUUAACUAAGACAAUUUUUUUUUUUCAUCUAUUUCAUUAAGUUGAAGAAGCACAAAACUUCUAAAAUUUUGGGAACGAUAACAGAUCCGAGGAUCGUAUGCAAUUUAGAUUUCGAUUUCAUAAAGUCACUUGUAACAGACUACUAGUUGUUCUAUUUGUCGUUUAUAGCAUUCAAUGGAAAUGAUUAUCAAUAGAAAUUUGGUUAUCUCGAUAAAAUAAAAUUUGGUUAGAUUUGCAAAUUAAAUAUCAAAUGCACUUAGGGCUAGUUUGGUAAUAAUUUAACUUUUAAAAUAACUAUUAUUAACCAUGAUUAUAAUCAGUUAUAGUUUGGUAAUUAUGUAACUUUUAAAAUACCUGUUAUUAGCCAUGAUUAUAAUCAGUUAAAACGUUUGGUA
RNAcentral lists this long non-coding RNA (1049 nucleotides) under Citrus x clementina. RNAcentral's name for it is "Citrus clementina (C. clementina) long non-coding RNA (CCLE_LNC003907)". Lineage: Eukaryota; Viridiplantae; Streptophyta; Magnoliopsida; Sapindales; Rutaceae. The record is from RNAcentral.